This 494-nucleotide ribosomal RNA is filed under the name uncultured bacterium. RNAcentral's name for it is "partial 16S ribosomal RNA". It matches the Rfam family "Bacterial small subunit ribosomal RNA", at positions 30 to 507 of the family's 1533-position model. The record is from RNAcentral.
AUUGAACGCUGGCGGCAUGCUUUACACAUGCAAGUCGAACGGCAGCGGGGAGGAGCUUGCUUCUCUGCCGGCGAGUGGCGAACGGGUGAGUAAUACAUCGGAACGUGUCGAGAAGAGGGGGAUAACCACCCGAAAGGGUGGCUAAUACCGCAUAAAUUCUGAGGAAGAAAGCUGGGGACCUGGGAAUAGGCCUAGCGCUUUUUGAGCGGCCGAUGUCGGAUUAGCUAGUUGGUGAGGUAAAGGCUCACCAAGGCGAAGAUCUGUAGCGGGUCUGAGAGGAUGAUCCGCCACACUGGUACUGAGACACGGCCCAGACUCCUACGGGAGGCAGCAGUGGGGAAUUUUGGACAAUGGGGGCAACCCUGAUCCAGCCAUGCCGCGUGUAUGAAGAAGGCCUUAGGGUUGUAAAGUACUUUUGUUAGGGAAGAAAAGUCAGCUGUGAAUAAUGGCUGAUACUGACGGUACCUAAAGAAUAAGCACCGGCUAACUACGUG